CUUCCCACAACCUUGUGACUUAGAGCCUGGUGCUUCAUCUCGACUAACAUUCUUAGACUUGGGUACUAGCACUCAGACUGAAAGCAUAUCUGGUGUUGAGAAUCUCUGAUGGAACUGGGAGCGGUUACUACCCCCUGAUCUUGGCUUAGAAUUAUUUGUUGUAGCCCUCUUAUUCUUUCUACACUCUCCUCCCUUACUCUGUUGAGUGCAAGUCUAAAUCCUAGAUAGGAAAAUAGUCUACAAAUUGUUCUGAGCAACUACUAAAUAAGCUAAGUUAGCAAAAACAUCUGUAAAUUCAAUGUGAGAGACAUGCUCAUUCAGGAGAUCUACCUGAACGGGUGGAGGAGCUAACUGGUUUUCAUUACUUCUUCCAUUAGCUUCUUUGGGAGGGAUAUUCUGGAAAGUUAAGGAAGAGUUGAAUCAGACUGAGAGUUUAACAUGAGCUCAUGCCCACUCGCACGUCAUGAAUACAGAAAGAAGGAAACUUUUCCUAAAAUAUCUCACAGCCCAGUCCAUAAGUGUGGCGCGCUACACACCCAUGCACAAUACUCAACACGAUCGGCUUUCAGACUCCCUAGGACUCUAUUGAACCUUAGUCUUUGAUACUGAGUUUGUAACACCUCGAGUCUUUACCCUAGAUGCUACACGAUGCUUACGACCCCAAAGGACCACAAGCUAACCCAUGACUGAUAUUUGCUGUGAGCACUGAAUAAUACUAGUGUAAAAUAUGAAAAAUAGGCUGGAAUGCCAUAAAGUUCAAAAUCUAAAAUACUGAUAAAUAACAACAUCUGAUAAAACAUCUAAAUCUGAAAUACUGUCUGAACUAAUCUAGUCUGAAAAGCCUCUAACUAAAUUAUCUAAAAGUAAAUCUGAUGGGACAAGCCCCCAAUGAACUUUAACCAAUGCAGUGCUAAAACUACUGUAAUACUAUAAUAAAAAUACAUCAUCGAUAGAUGAGGACUCACUACUAAAGCUGCUUCUGCUGACUGGAUCUGUCUAAGAACGGUCGGGAACCUGAGCAUCCAAACCUAAAAUAUGAGACAUCAUAGUGCAAAGAAAGAGUAUGCGCCAGUACGUGGAAUGUAAUAGUAUGCUAGAUGAGGUAAGGUUGAAUUCAAGGGUUCAUAUACAAUAUUGUGCUUAUAUAUACUGUAACUGAGCUUUUCUUAAGCUAAGUAAUGAGUUCUGAUACAGAGUUACUAAUAAUCAAAGAUUUUUGAUAACUAAGUUACUGAUACUGAUUGACUGUAUCUGGUAGUCCUAAUUCUGCAGAAUUGAACUGAGUUCUAUUCUAAAGACUAAAACUAAAAUAGUGGGAGGUAAUCAUCUAAUCGACAUGCCCCAAAUAAGAUAAUAUAACUAAGUUAGGGUCCAAUCUGUAACCCUAAUUAGAAGGGUGUUAGCAUCGUGCCAUGGAUACUACCAACUACUGUGGAGUCAGUUCUAACUAACGAGUGACCCCUGAGAUCAGUCCUAAACUAGCAGGUGAUUCCUGAGUAUGUCAGUCCUAUCUAACGAAUGACAUCUCAUAACCUAUAUAGGCUACGUAAUUUUGGAACUUAGGGAUUGCUUCUAGGGACCCAGUCCUAACUAACUGCUAAGCCCCUAUCCCUAGGCUCACUCGGUGCUUAAUACUACUCCCAACUAAAAGACACUAAACUGAUUAUACUGAAUUGGACUGGACUGAUACUGAGUUUACUGAGUUUUCCUGAGUUUAGUAACUGACUGAGUUCUACUGGGUUUUGUAACUGACUGAGAGUAUUACUGAUCAAAACAUGACUAACACUAUUUUGUAACUGACACUAGCUCUAGGUAAACAGCUAAAUUUUUGGGUAUUAAAUGCCUUUAAGAGUCGAUAGCAUGAAAAGGAAAGCAAAGCAUAAUCUUCAAUAACAUAAUAAUGUUCACUUGGUCAUAAUUCAUUCAUAGAGAUAUUUCAUCAAACACUUGUAAUGCAUUAACUUGUACAUCAAUAGGGAAUACAUGUUAGCAUGCUAUAAUGACAUUAUUUCAUUCUCAUAGAUAAUUUAUCAAACAAAUGAGAAGCAUACUUAUUUUACUAAAUUAUAAACACUUAGGGUAAACAUGGUUAUAACAAUCAACUUGCAAAUUGAAGGGUUUAUCAUGAAUAUCAUGUAAAUCAACACAUAUAAUGAUUUAUUUCAUGAAGUCUUGUAAUUAAAUCAUGUACUAAGACCACGAACAUGAAGUCACUUCAAUUCAAGUAUGGAAGUUCAUAAUUCAACAAUCUUGUAAUUUGAAAACAUAUUUGUCGACUAUAUAGGUGAAAGGAUCCGAUAGAUGAACAACUAACAUACCUUAGAAGAUUCUUUCUUGAAUGUUCUUGGGGUAAUUUAUAGGAUUGUUCUUGAUUUUCUUGAACUAGGGCUUUUUCCUCUUGAGAGAGAAUAUUUUUAAUUUAGGAAAGAAUGAGUGAAUAAUGAGCUAAUAGGGUAUGUAGGGGCUUAAUUUCAUGUUUAUACUGAUUAGUGUUGUGGAAAAAGACCCAACUACCCCUAUGAAGAUUUAAAAAUUCAUCACUGAAAAAGCAAAUUUUAGACCCUGGCGCGACGCGGCGCUAUCAUACCAUGUCACUGGAAAAUGACAAUUAGGAACUGGGGGCCUGGAGCAAUGCGGUGGAAUCACGUUGCCCCUUUGAUUCUGAAUUUUAAACUCAGCGCGACGUGGUAGAAUCGCAUUGUAAGACUAAAAAAGGACAAUUUUGAACUGAUUUUGUGGAAUGAUGCAUCAAUAUCAUGAUGGAGCACUGGAAAGUGACAAUUGCCAUUUGCCUUGGCUCCACGAUGCGCUGACGUUCCAGGUGGUACACUGUCUUAAAAAAUGGCUCUAACUCUUCACCUGGGUAUCAGAUUUGGGUGAAUUUUAUAUUAUUAGAAAGCUAAUUCAAUUUCCUACACAAUGAUAGGCUCUAAAAUAAGAAAUAUAGAGUAUUUCAAAAAUUUUAUAUGGGAUUACUGGUGUACUAAGACUUAAAUUAAGCUAUACGGGGUAUUACAAAGACCUUGGAAAAACAUGACUUAAUUUUGGUAAUAGUGGAUUGAUUGAUGAAAUCACCUAACAUCAGUUUGGGUAGACUACGGCUCCCAAAAAUUAGUAAAAGCUACGUCAAGGAGUUAGUAACGCUUCAUGGGGUGCCCCUAAUUAUCAUUUCCAAUAGAGAUGCAAAGUAUACUUCUAGAUUUUGCGAUAGGUUGCACGAGGAUUUGCAUGCAAAGCUGACCUUUUACAUGACUUUUCAUCCUCAAAUUCAUGGACAGUUAGAGAGAAUGAUUCAGGUGCUAGAGGAUAUGUUGAGUGCCUAUGUUAUUGACUUUAGAGGUAAUUGGGACUAGAUUUUUUCAUUGUAAGGGUUUUUAUACAAAAACAACUCCAACUCCAACUUAAACAUGGUACCAUUCGAGGCACUAUAUGAAAGAAAAUUUUGGGCACCUAUUAGGUGAUUUGAAACUAAAGAUGUUAAAUCUUUGGGCAUUGACUUUGUGAAGGAGGCUUAAGGAAAAGUAAGAUUUAUUCAAACUAUGUUGUUAGAUGGUCAAACUAGAGAAAAAGCGUAUGCAAACCAUUAGGUAAGAAAUAUGGAUUUCAUGGUUGGUGAACAAAUAUUGCUUAAGGUGUUUCCCAUGAAGAGAGUCAAGAGGUUUAGUUAGAUAAUAAAGCUCAGCCCUUGGUAUAUUGGACUUUUAAGAUUCUUUAUGAUGUGGGUCUGGUUGUGUACCAUUUAGCAUUAUCUCUAGGUUUGUUAGGAUUCAUCUGUAUUCUCAAAUGGUUUCAUAGGGAUAGAUAUUAUAUUAUUAAAUAGGACUCGAUUAUAUUAUAUAAUGAUUUGGCUUAUGGGGAAGAAUCAGUGGCAAUUAUAAAUUGAGAUAAUUAGAAGUUGAGGAGAAAGGAAAUUUCUUUGGUUAAGGUUUAAUAGAAAUGUCAUCCAAUUAACGAAUCCACUUGGAAAACCUAUAAGGACAGGUAAGACAAGUACCCUCAAUUGUUUGGGAAUACAAGCACUCUCUUUUUCCUUAUCUCAGCUUAUUUUUACAUUUCACAUUUGAUCGUUUGGGGACAAAAUAUAGGUAUAUUGGUAUCUAUUGUCAUGGGAUAUUUUGUAGUUUUGUAUAAGUCUCUUAUUUAAAUUUUCAUGCUACAAUUGUUCUCAGAUUUAAAAUUAUAAAUUUUAGGCUAGUAUAGUUUUUGAUGAAAUCUGAGUGAGGUAUGGUCUAGGAAAAAUCAGGAAUUAAUUAUGUAAGUGUGGUGGAGUUCAACUUUAAUUUUAGUUAACUAAGAGGAUAAGAAUCUUGUAGGAUUUUACAAAAUUAAAUUUGGGUUAGUAAAACUCCCAAAAUUAAUCUUAGCAUAAAGGGUAUUAUUUGGGAUAUCUUACAAUUAAUGUAUGUUAUGAAAAAGAGGAGUUGUGGGGGAACCAGGCACUCUACCUUUCUCAUGUCACUAUAUCAAUAUGCAUGUCACUAUAGAAAUAUACCCAAAAGUAGAGAAAAUCCCAUUUUAUCAUCAAAUCAAACUGGUUAACGACCGUUAUAGCGACAUGUGCCACUAAAGCGACAUAUGGCGCUAUAUCUACAAAUAUAGUUGUUUUAUUUUUGAAAUUCUCAAAAAAUAGUUUAUUUUUUCAAAAACACAUGUUGGGGCAAGAAAGAGGCAAGUUUGGGCCAAAGUCACCAAUUAUCUAUUAUUUGGCUUCAUUAGGUAAGAAUUUUAUUCCUAUUAACUAGUAAAUUAAUAAUAUAGCCUAAGAAUUUCUAGUUUACGUAGUUUGGGGAAGGUUAAGGGUUGAUUUUAUGUGAUUUUAUGAUGCAAGGUAGAAAUUUUAUUAUAAAAUCAAGGGGUUUUGGUUAAUGAUCAUUACAUGUUGUUUAUUUACCAAUUUAUCUAUAAAAUUGGUCGUUUUAGGUGAAUUAUGGUAGAAAGGCCCUAGAACGGGGAGGAAAUGAUCAUGAACUUAGCCUUAGGGGUUGAGUAUGAGCUAUAAUCCCCAUAAUGGUUGGUCAUUUCAUUAAUUAUGUGUUCAUAUGUAUUUCUAUACUGAGAUCAAUCAAAAAUUAAACAAAAAGGCAAGGCUCAAGUUUAGUGAGUUGUGCAAGCUUGGAUUAAGGUUGGUGAUUGUAUUAUAGUUAACACCAAUUUAUAUUAUAUGUGCACAUUAACUACAUCUUAGUAUGUCUUCUUAGUGUAUGUUGUUUGGUGUGUUUAAUUAAAAUGAAUUUAUCUUAUUAUAUAAUUUGACCUACCUUAUUCUUAAAUAGGGAAUCUUUUGAUAUUUAGAACAUUCUUAUGGCUUAUAGGUGGAAUAAGGUUGGCCGACACUUGUGUCUGAGAUUUAGGUACAUUGGUGAAAUUUGUCCCCUGCAGGUCAUGACUAAAGGGUACUUAUCAUACCUUUAACGUGUAUGUAUGAGGUUACCGUGAGUUUUAUAGUUCAAUAAGUUAACCGAAGAAUAUAUUUAUAUGUUUGAUAAUGUUUAAAUUGUCGUGACUUCUUUUAACUUGGAUUUAUUGAACAUGACUUGGUUGUAAAUGGAUUGACUUAUUUCUUGUAAUCCUAAGUUGCUUCAUUGUUACUUAUUGUGUUAGUUGUAGGUUAGGAUGAGCAUGGAGUAACUGAUUGUACUAUGUUUUGGUUAAGUAUGCAUAUUCUCAUCUUGGUUUGGCCAAAUGACCCUAUCAGUACACUAUUGUUUCUUGAUUACUAAUAAUACACAUGCUCUUUCUUUUGUUGAAUGCAACAUAUAUUUCAGCGGCUCCUGCAAGAUCUCACUUGUGAUUCUAGAGUUUGAUAUGAAAUUUAGGGGUGAGCAGCAUAUUUGGGCCACCAUUAAAUCUUUAUUUUAUGAUAUUAUUUUUGUUAGAACUGAUGCAUCUCCCUUAUUUAUUUGGGAUUUCUCCUUUCCUUGACAUCCUAGAAAUUUGACUAUUUUCUUUUCUUUUGAAGUUUUUUAUGCACCCUAGACUUUCAAGGACCUUGCAUGUUUUUCUUUGGAAUCUUCAAACUUGAAUCUUAUUUUGUAAUAUAGACAUCUUCAGUGCACUCAACAAGUAGGGACAAAAGAGGGAUAGAGUUUGUAAGAACUCAGAGGGUUAUAGGCUAUGAUGGGGUUGUCCAAUGAAAAGGCUUUAGGCUCGGAAGGGACAUACUGAGGAUUAAUAUCAUUUUUCCGGUAUUUAAAGGCACAAAGAGAUCAAAGAAGGCUUAAAUUCCUUUCUCAAACCAGAUAUUACACAGAAUUUCACCUUAACAAACAUUUGGGCCAAGUAUAGAUCAACAGUGCAAUGCAAUUGAAUUUAAUCUAAUAACUCACCAUACAAUGCACAUAAAACAAUGAGGUUGGUAUUAUUUUUACCUUGAAUGCAUGCAAGAAAAGUCUUUUGACUAUUACCACAGUAUGAAAGAGAGGUACCAAAAAAAACUAAGGUUCACCACAAAGUUAAGCCUCUCAAUCAUAUCCAUUAUCGCUCAUGCUUCUAUUUAUUUUGGUAUGAACAAAUCCAAUAACAUGAUUCUAAUAAUUUUAUUAUUUUUUAUAAAUAAGGAAUACUAAACUCAUGAAAGGCUUCCUAUGUAUCUCAUCCCGAAGAUUAAGAAUUUAGUGAGUAUAGUUUUUGCAAAUAUGAUGUAUAAUAUAUGAACAAAAAUAAUGAAUACAAAUAUAUAGAUAAACUCAAAGAAAUGCCUCAUAUUGUCUGGUCUCAACCGAUGUCUUUAUCUAAAUAAUAUCGCCUAAUUAUUUAUAGGGACAACAUAUUGUAAUACCCCGUACUUCUACUUAGCUUGAAAUCGUUCCAAGAAUGCUAGAAACUUUCUUUGCAAGAUGAAUCCACUUUUAUACUUGUGAUAUUUCUAAGAUUUUCACUUUCUAUCAUGUGUGAAAUUAAAUUAACUUUCCAACGAUACCAAUUUUAUCCAAAUCCAACAUUGAAAAAAAAAGUUAGGGACAAAAAAUAGAAGGCAGUCAAAAUCGCCUAGGUUUGACGGUGAGAACCGAUGGACCAUUGAGCUAGCGACGGACCUUUGCCCAAGCCAUCACAGUGGAGGAAAUGAGACUACCUUCUACCUAAGAAAAACGGCUAAGACCAACGGACCAUCGAGCUAGUGAUGGACCAUUGCACAAGCCCUCGCACGAGAGGCAGUGAACCCCUAAUCUGAUCAGGUGUGACAACCAGGACCUACGGACCAUCGAACCAGCGAUGGACCAUCACACCCACCGUCAUAUAGUUUAUUUAUUUAUUUUAAUAUUUUUAAAAAGGUUAUUUGCAUUUUUUCCACUCGUUUUAACCCCUAAUUAUAUUAGACCAAGGUUCAUAAGUUCAUUAUCCAUCUACAACAUCAAAUUAGCAUUUUCUCUCAAACAUAAUCCCCAAGAACAAGAUCCAAAUCAUUCUUCAAGAAACUAAGGGAUUCCAAGUUCUUCAAGUCCAAGAACUUCAACAAACUCACAACCCAGGUAUGUCAUGUAUUGAUUCAUGGGUCCCUUUCACCCAUGAAGCCCAAGAAUCUCUUUUCAAAAAACAAGAUUUGUGUAUUUAUGAAUGUUCAUGAUUUAAAUUGAAUUGAAAUUCAUGUUCAUGAUGUUGUGGAGUUUUGAUUCAUGUUUGAAAUUACAUAUUCCAAUGAUUGACCCUAGGAUAUGAUGAUUUGCAUAACAAUCAUGAUAAACCCUUAAAUUUACAUGUGGAUGGAUGUAUCCAUGAUUAUUAGAUGUGUUGAUAAUUGUAUAACCAAAGUAUGCUUCCCAUGUAUUUGAUUAAAUGCCUAUAUGAAGGAAAAGUGCCAUAAUAGUAUGAUAAUAUGAAAUCCCCAUUCAUGUACAAGUUCAUGCAUGUUAAGUGUUUGAUAAAAUAUCUUAGUCAAUGAAUUAUGGAUAUAUGUGUAGCCAUUGUGCUGCUUUAGCACUUGUACUUCAUGAAAUCUCCAUCUUAUUAUAAUAUGGAUUGUCGAUGUUGGUCAUGUAUUCAAAAAAGUCAUGCUUUGUCAGUUUCAUGCUAUCGAGUCCUGAGGGUACUUGUACCUGACAAUUAGUUGUGUUCCCAGAGCUAGUGUCAUGUUUUCAAGAUACUCUCAGUCAAGCCAUGUUCAUAAAAAUUCUGUCAGUCAUGUGACUCAGGAAAACUCAGUAAACUCAGUAAUCUCUGAAAUAUCAUAAAUCUAGUAAUCUUAGUAGCAUUCCAUUAGUCUAUGGAAAUUCAGUUAACAUAGUCCAAUCAGUUCAGUGUCUAUUCAGAUGGGAGUAGAAAGUAGCAUCGAGCGAACCCAAGGAUGGAAACCCACUUGUUAUAUGAGGGUGUAAUUCUUAGAAGAAAUCCCUGCGUUCCAGAACUACAUAGCUAGCAUAGUUUAAGACAUUGUAGCCUAUUAUAUGAAGGUAGAUGAGGUGUAUUAACCUGUUAUAUAAGGGUUCCCACUGUUCUAACUAGAGUUACCUGUUAUAUGAGGGUUACUCACAGAUUGUCCUUACUAGUGGCAUGGUAUUGACACCCUUCUAAUUGGUAGUACAGAUUGGACCCCAAGUUAACAUUAAUGUAUUAUUUGGGGCAUGUCGAUUAGAUAACUACUUCCCAUAGUUUCAUUACAGAAUUAGGAUUGUCAGAUGCAAUCAACUCAGAACAGUACAAAACUCAGCUAGUUCCAUCAAAACUAUGACUGUCAAAUAUAGCCAUUCAGUCUUAGUAAUAAAACUUAUAUAGUUCUAUAAUAUUCAAGACUAUCAGAUACAGUCAACUCAAAAUAGUACAAAACUCAGCUAGUUCCAUCAGAACCUAGACUGUCCGAUACAUUCAUUCAGUCUCAAUAAUUGAACUCAGAUAGUUCUAUAGGAUUCAAGACUGUCAGAUACAAUCAAAUCAGAACAGUAUGAACUCAGCUAUUUCCAUCAGAACCUAGACCAUCAGAUACAGUCGUUCAGUAGCAAUUAUUUCAGUUAUACAGAUAUCAAUAUCUCAUGUUAUCAGCACUCCCACUUAGUAAUUAUAUUAUCACGAGCUCACUUAUAAUUAUUAUAUAGUCGUGCAUAUAUUCUGACAUUCAUGUUAUGCAGUCAGUUAGUGUAGUUCAUACAUAAGAACCCUUUUACGUUCAACCUACCACACAUACAUACCAGUAUAUUCAAAUGUACUGACGCAUUUACACUAUGGUGUUUUAUACCAUAGAUUCAGAAUCAUGAGCUCUAGAGUAUCAGUAGUUUUCUAGUCUCAGCAGUUAGAGUUAGCAGUGAGUCCUUAUCCUUCGAGGACAUGACCAUUACUUUAUUAUCUCAUUAAUUAAUUUAUUUCAGUAGUUGGAGUUACUUGGGGACAUAUCCCAUCAACUCCUUAUUCAGACAGUUCAGUCAGUUAGAGCCUUUUCAGACUAUCAGGUUCAGACAAUUUAUUUCAGGUUUUGUUUUAGUAUUGUGAUACCAUAUCAUUCAGAGAUUAUUUUAUUAUUUUUGAACCUUAUGGCCUUAUAGCCUUUAUUUUCGCAUUUAUAUGGUAUAUUAUGCAGUGCUCAGGUACAGAUAUCAAUCAUGGGUUAGCUUGUGGUCUUUCGGAGUCAUGUGCACCGUGUAGCAUUUCGAGUACCAGAUUCGGGGCAUUACAAACUUGGUAUCAGAGCCUAAGGUUCAAUAGAGUCCUAGGAAGUCUGAAAGCCACAUCUAGUAGAGUCUUCUACAUGGGUGUGUUGCACGCCACAUUUAUGUGCAGGAGGCUAUAAGAUAUUUUAGGAAUAGCUUCCCUUCUUUCAGUAUUCAUGUCGUGCCAGUGAGCAUAAUCUCAAGUCAAUCUCUCAGUCUAAUCCAUUUCUCUCUUUCUUCUAUAGAACAUUCCUCCUACAAAAAGAAAUGGGAAACUUGACAUGUGGCCCAAGUGACACUUGAAGUGGGGUAGGACUUACAACUUUUGGAAUCGACUCAAACAGUGAGGAUUAACUCAUGCCCCAGUUUCUUUUGACUGGGUAAUUCUAAAUUGUUUAUUUGGUUGGACCGAGCCCAGAGUAGGGCAGGCUACGUAUCUCACCCUCGGGAGAGGAGAAUCAGAUCACACUUAGUACUGACAGAUUGUUCUUUAUUUUGAUAUGAUUUUUCUCUUUUCUUUCUUUUUUUUAUUGACUCCUUUUCUCUUUAGGAUUUUCUUUUCUGACUCUAUUUUCCUUGACAAUCUUCUCUUUUCUUUCUUUUUGAACACAUUCUUUCUCUCUUUUUAUUUUGGAUUUUUGACUCCAUUUUUGCUCGACACAUUUUUUGAAACUUUUCAACUUUAUCUUGAUUCCAAUAGAGGGAUAUGAAAGAAAAUAGAACCAAUGCUCAAUGGGGUGAACAACGGAUGACACAAUGUUUGGAUAGCAAAAAUAAAAUGCCUUCGUCGUAUCAAUCCUUGAAAAUGCAAGUACACAUUAUGCAAUAUGAAGUGAAAGAUGAAAACCAUUUGUGACAUUUUAUUUUUAGCACUAACUUUAACUGAGCUUGUGCGUCGCUACUUCUUCUGCAAACUCCACCAUUGUCUUACAUUCCUCUUAUCGAAGGAUCUAUCCUUUCAUAGAGCUAUUCAUCUUCCAGUUUCUCUUAAUAUAGGGAUCGCGCAUCCACUAUCUGACCUAAUCGAGCUAUGAUUUUCAAUUGAUGACCAAGUUAUUCUUAUGAAUCUCAAAAUAAUUGCCUUAGUUUUGAAAGAAGACUUCAACAUGGUCACCAACUGUCUUAACAUGAUACCUAUUUCUCAGAUGUUUUUUCUAACUUUAGCCCUCUGAUUAAAAGUUCAUGCUAAAAUUGGAUUUUAAGAUCUAGCUGAAAAUCCACAAGCAUGUAAUAUCACUAGAGCCAACAUAACAUGUAUUAUGUGAAGAAAAUAAACAAACAACACAUGUUUAGAGAACAAAAGGAAAAGGGACACUGCAUUUAGUUAAAAUAAAAGAUAGAAGGGUUUGAACAUAAAUGACAAAGGGACAAAACAAGAUAGAUCCCAGACUACAACCCUGAAAUAAUUCAAAUAACAAAAAAUAAAACAAAACAAACUACCAAACAUCCAUCCUAGAAGGGAGAUGAGUGACUUCCCAAUUGAGGAGGCUGACAUCUUAGCCACUGGUUUGCACAUCAGCAUGACUAGAGCUUUCACCACUGUGAAUGUUCUACACCAUAAUCAACUUAUCUUGAAUCACCUUUUCUAUUUCUCUUUUCAAAGAACGAUAAUCUUUAAUACUGUGACCCUAAAUGUCAGAAUGAUAUACACAUCGUACAUUAGAAUUAAAACUUCUUGAAUGCGGAUCAGGAGUAUACCCAAAGAGAGUAUUGAUCAUGCCCCACUGUACCAAUCUCUGAAAUAAACUGGCAUACGACUGUCCAAUUAGUGUGAAACUAUAUGUGAAACUAUCUCUACACUUCUGUCUCUUCUCAAUAUUUGAUUUGGAUUGAACAUCGGGCCUAGAAGGUCUUUGGUAUAUUUGUGGAGUUGGAGGAUGACUCUAAGGAGUUGGUGCAUACCAUUGUGAGUAAGAAGGGAGUUAAACAUAUGGUUGCACGCAAUAUACUAGAUAUGGAGGUGGGGAAAUCGAGUAUAAUAGAUUUGGGGAGGGAUUACAGAGAGCUUGGGUAUGAACUUGUGCAUAAGACUGAUGAUAAUGACGAGGUGGUCUUCUUCUAUGUGCUCGUUGUCCAACUAUAAUAUCAAGUUUAUCUUUCUCAUCCUUCUUCCUUCCAGUUUUCAUAACUUGAUUGCAAUAUUUUCCCAAAUGUUUCACGGAUUUAUCAUGUCCAUCUUGCUCCUAAAAUUUCAACAUCUCAAGGAUUGGAGGAAGGUUAACACUUGAAUACAUGCCCCAGUCUUUGUAUGAAACAUCUUUUUUACCCGUAGGUCCUAGGGAACUUUUCAUAGCCUUUUCUGCACUCUUCAUUUUUUCAACCAUUUUUCCUGGCUCUUCUGACAUGCUAGACUUCUUGUUAAGAAAUUUUUUGGUCCAGUUAACUUAAAAGUAGGCUCAGGAGUAUAGCAAUGAUCAGCAAGAGUAUUUAACAUGGAUCCACUAGUUGCAUAGGGAAGCACAACCAUUGGCGGCUAGCUAAUGUGGUUGUCUACACAGAGGAUUGAGCAACAAAAUCACAGAAGGUAUGUGAUGCUAUGAAUAUGGUAGGUUUAUACUGAGGAGUUAAUAAACAGUGGUGGAAGUAUUGAAAUUCUUUUGGCUUGUAAUGAAUUCUGAGUCAUGUUACAGUGCAUCAACAAUAAUGGGAAACUGACUUUACGACUUUAGUAGAAAACUUGAGGUAUUUGUAGGAUCAAUAGCAGAAAAUGGAAAGGGAGGCAACCCACUGGCCCAAGAUCAAUACAUUUCCAUCAUUUUCUAUCUUAGUCUCAAAUUCUCUUCCUUUAAACUCUCAUUUUCCUGACUCUUUAUUUGAUCCAUGAGGUUACUCUCUAUAUCCUUGUUGGACAAAGCUAAACCUUUCUAAGAUUUGGUGUGAUGUGGAGCACCAGCUACAAUGUCACAAUUCCAUAAACCAACCACCUUGAACUAACUAAAUAAGAGAUAACAAACGUGUUAGAGUUAAACACUUUCUCAAAACCUUUUUCUUUUUCUUUUCUUUAGAAAAGAUCACUGAACCCAAGAAGGGCGCCUAUAUAUCUCACUCUCGAGAGAGGUGAAUCAAGUGUACAUAAUUUGUGAAGCUUGGCCACAAAAGGGCUAAAUUUUAAGAAGAAAAGAAAAUAACAAUUUGUCAAAAGAAUUGACGAAAAUCUUUUUAAAUUUUUCAGCUUUAACAUCCCUAUACAAAAUGAAAUCUAUGAUUGCCAAAGAAAAUCUUUUUGGGUUUUUGAUUUUUAAUUUCAUAUGAAAAUGAAACUUGAAGCUAUUAAAGGAAAAUCUUUUUGUAGUUUUCUUUUAAAGAUGAACAUAACAUCUACUCUAAAUGAAGAGUGAAGAAAAUAUUUUUGGAUUUUUCAGAUUCCUAUACGAAAUGAAACCUAUGAAUACCAAAGAAAAUCUUUUUGGGUUUUAGAUUUUGAAUUUCAGAAGAAAAUGAAACUUGAACUUAUUAAAGGAAAAUAUUUUUUGUUGUUUUCUUUUAAAGAUGUAUAUGAAACACCUACUCUAAUAAAGAGUUAAAAAAAUCUUUUUGGAUUUCUUUAAAUAAGAUCACCGAACCCUAGAAGGGCUGCCUACGUUCUCACUGUCAAAAGAGGAGAAUCAGGUGUGCGUAGUUCAUCCAAAUUGGAUAAUUAAAGAUUAAAUAAUAAACUAAACCUUGACUUGAGAAACAUGACCAAAGAUAGACAAUGAAAAAAAACACGGCAAUAAAAUCUUUUUGAGUUUUUAAUUUUGACACUUCAUAUAAAAAUGAUACCAACAACUAUGAAAGAAAUUUUUUUUUGGUAUUUUUAUUAUAUGAAAUGUAAAAAACUCCUACCAUCUUUUGAAUUUUCCUUUUAUAAAUAGUUUCUAUUUAAAAAAAAAAUAUUUUAGGAGUUUUCGAAUUGUGAAUACUUACUAAAGGAACAAAAGGAAAAUCUUUUUGAUGUUUUUGUUUUUUUAAGAAAACGAAUGCAAAAUGUAAAACUCUUUUUGAAUUUUUGAAUUGUGAAAAACAAAAGUCAUAAAGAACUCUAAACACUACAAAACUCUUUUUUUGAUUCACCUUUUUUUUUGAAUUUUUCUUGCCUAAACACAUACUCCUUUAAUUCUAACAAAUGUUUUCCCUAAACCAGUAUAAAGAUGCAAUAAUUAACACAUAGGGAUGCUUUAGGGGUGAGUCUUCUACAAAGGACCAAGUGGGUCCUACUAGGUCUCAAUAUGAUGCAGAUAAGCAUGACCUAAAGGUUGACCUAUAUUGGGGUCCACUAACAAUGUCGUUCGGGGGAGCAUAUGGUCGAUAGUGGCUGCUUUGCUUUCCACCUACUCCAUAUAUCCGAUGGUGCUCCCUCCUAAAAUAAGGGUGACGCAGCUACAGUUCAUGUACACGACGUGUACUCCGAGACUUAUUGCAGAAAGAAUUUCAAUGUUGUACACGACUUGUCAUCCCAUGGCUCUGCUUCCCUUACUUGAUUGCAAUAUUGUCCCAAAUGUUUCACGGAUUUCUCAUGUCCAUCUUGCUUCUCAAAUUUCAAUAUCUCAAGAAUUGGAGGAAGGUUAACACUUGAAGACAUGCCCCAGUCUUUGUAUGAAACAUCUUCUUUACCCGUAGGUCCUAGGGAACUUUUCAUAGCCUUUUCUGCACUCUUCAAUUUUUCAACCAUUUUUCCUGGCUAUUCUGACAUGCUAGACUUAUUGUUAAGAAAUUUUUGUGGUCCAGUUAACUUAGAAGUAGGCUCAAGAGUAUAGCAAUGAUCGGCAAGAGUAUUGAACAUGGAUCCACUAGUUGCAUAGGGAAGCACAACCAUUGGCGGCUAGCUAAUGUGGUUGUCUACACAAAGGAUUGAGCAACAAAAUCACAGACAGUAUGUGGUGCUAUGAAUGUGGUAUGCUUAUACUAAGGAGCUUGAUAAAGAGUGGUGGAAGUAUUGGAAUUCUUUUGGGUUGUAAUGAAUUCUGAGACAUGUUACAGUGCAUCAACAAUAAUAGGAAACUGACUUUGAGAUUUUGGUAGAAAACUCGAGGUAUUUGUAGGAUCAAUAGCGAAAAAUGGAGAGGGAAGCAACCCACUGGCCCAAGCUUGAUACAUUUCCAUCAUUUUCUAUCUUAGUCUCAAAUUCUCUUCCUUUAAACUCUCAUUUUCCUGACUCUUUAUUUCAUCCAUGAGGCACUCUCUAUAUCUUUGUUGGACACAGCUAAACCUUCCUAAGAUUUGGUAUGAUGUGGAGGACCAUCUACAAUGCUGCAAUGCCAUCAACUAACCACCUUAAACUAACUGAACAAGAGAUAACAAACGUGUUAAAGUUCAACACUUUCUCAAAACCUUUUUCUUUUUCUUUUCUUUGGAAAAGAUCACUGAACCCAAGAAGGGUGCCUAUGUAUCUCACUCCCGAGAGAGGAGAAUCAAGUGUGCAUAGUUCGUGAAGUUUGGCCACAAAAAGGCCAAUAAAACUCUUUCAUUUUUUUUUUGAAAUUUUAAGAAGAAAAUAAAAUAACAAUUUGUCAAAAGAAUUGAUGAAAAUCUUUUUGAAUUUUUCAGCUUUAACAUCCCUAUACAAAAUGAAAUCUAUGAUUACCAAAGAAAAUCUUUUUGGAUUUUUGAUUUUUAAUUUCAUAUGAAAAUGAAACUUGAAGCUAUUAAAGGAAAACCUUUUUGUAGUUUUCUUUUAAAGAUGUAUAUGACACCUACUCUAAAUUAAGAGUGAAGAAAAUCUUUUUGGAUUUUUUAGAUUCCUAUACGAAAUGAAACCUAUGAAUACCAAAGAAAAUCUUUUUGGGUUUUAGAUUUUAAAUUUCAUAUGAAAAUGAAACUUGAACCUAUUAAAGGAAAAUCUUUUCUGUUGUUUUCUUUUAAAGAUGUAUAUGAAACACCUACUCUAAUAAAGAUUUAAAAAAAUCUUUUAGGAUUUUUUGAAAUAAGAUCACCGAACCCUAGAAGGGCUGCCUACGUAUCUCACGCCCGAAAGAGGAGAAUCAGGUGUGCGUAGUUUGUCCAGAUUGGAUAAUUAAAGAUUAAAAAACAAACUAAACCUUGACUUGAGAAACAUGACCAAAGUUAGACGAUGGAAAAAAACACGGCAAUAAAAUCUUUUUGAGUUUUCAAUUUUAACACUUCACAUAAAAAUGACACCAUCAACUAUGAAAGAAAUUUUUUUUUUGGUAUUUUUAUUAUAUAAAAUGUACAAAACUCCUACCAUCUUUUGAAUUUUCCUUUUAUAAAAAGAUCCUAUUGAAAAAAAUAUAUUUUUGGAGUUUUCGAAUUGUGAAUACUUACUAAAGAAACAAAAGGAAAAUCUUUUUUAUGUGUUUGUUUUAUUAAGAAAAUGAGUGCAAAAGGUAAAACUCUUUUUGAAUUUUUGGAUUGUGAAAAACAAAAGCCAUAAAGAACACUAAAAACUACAAAACUCUUUUUUGAUUCACUUUUUUUUCGGAAUUGUUCUUGCCUAAACACACGCUCCUUUAAUUCUAACACAAGGACCAAGUGGGUCCUACUAAGUCUCAAUAUGAUGCAGAUAAGCAUGACCUAAAGGUUGACCUACGUUGGGGUCUACGAACAAGGUUGUUCGGGGGAGCACUUGGUCGAUAGUGGCUGCUUUGCUUUCCACCUACUCUAUAAAUCCGAUGGCUCUCCCUCCUAAAAUAAGGGUGACUCAACUACAGUUCGUGUACACGACGUGUACUCCGAGACUUAUUGCAUAAAGAAUGACUCGGGUUAUGCACAUGAUGCUAGAUAUAAAGCGGUAACACAUAAAAAAGUAUAAACAUGUAUCACGUAGGCACUCAAUAAUGAUAAAGUAGUAACACAAACACUAAUACAAGCAAUGUUUAUACACCUACAAUGUCAAACUAAGCCGAUACAACUCCAAAAAAUAAGCUCGAAUUCUAAAAAAUCCUCAGCAGAGUUGCCAGAGCUGUCACACCUAUUUUUAUACCAAAAAGAUUCAGCUUUUAAGUUUGAAAAGGGUUUUUAUUAUUAAAGUAAAAAAAUAAAGAUUUGCUUCAAAAAAAAUUCAUUUCACAAUUAAAUUUAGAGUCGCCACUUGGCAUAAUCAAGUGUGCCAAGUCACCUUUGAAAAAUCAUUUUUAAAAUGAUUUGACUCUUUAAACUGAUUUGCAAACAGAGAUUAAGAAAUUUUGUUGACCAAGGAGAAGGUGUCAAGAACCCCUCGAUCCCGUGCUUCAACCACGGUCUCUUGGUGAAGUGUAUUGGCAAGUAAGUCACUAUGAAUAUAUAAACCCACAAAAGACACAUAAAACAAGCAAACAAACACAUCAAACAAUAAUCCAAAAAACCAAAAUAAUAAUGUCCAGUCCAAUAAUACAGUCUUAAAUAAAUAAAAUCGAAAAAAUGUGAAUAAUAUAAAUCUUAUUCUAAACUAGUCCUAGACUAAGAUCCACCCAAUGCCUCAGUCCUUCGACACAAAUAUCCUCCGAAUACAAAAUACUUUGAGGCAUUCCCCGACGAAUAAACACAAAUAUCUCGGGGCAUUCCCUGGCCCAAUGAUACAUUUAAUCCAAAUAGCAAACUAAAACCAAACCAUUCAUCAUAUUUCAUAUUCAAAUAUUCAACAAAAUCAUUUAAUCCUAAAAUUUUGCCUACUCGGAUUUACAUUUGCCUAUCCGCUUCAACAUAUCAUAAUUCUACCACGUUCCAACAUAAUUCAUGCUUAUUCCAAAUUAAACAAAAACAACAAUGAACCAAAAUUGAACUUCAUUCACCCUUCUCACCAAUUUCUCAAUUCCAUCCCAAACAACCAAUUUUACUUUUCAAACGAGAUUUCAUUUUCAUUUCACCAUCUAAACCAUAAUCAAGGGAAUCAACCGUAAAUCAAAACAAACAUGCAUUCAUCACCAACAAGGAUCAAACAAUAAUAAUAUUCAAUCCAAAAAUAGCAAAAUAUAGUAAAUAAUAAAAUAAAAGAGGUAAAGAGUAGAAUUGGACCUUCUGAUAAUUUGCUUUUGUUGAUAAUGAUAUUUAAGAGAACCUGGAUUUAGAAUCCCGAAUAGAAACCUACACAGCGAACCCAACUCGUAUCAAUAAAUAAUGACCCGAAUGGAUUUGAAUCCCAAGAAAGAAGAAGUAGCACUCAAAUCGAUAUCAAAAUCAUGAAAAUUUAAGAAAGCCCGUAUCCAAGAUUUUGAAACACAGACAAACAGAUCGAAAAUCAAGUUGUUACCGAAGAAAAUUGAGAAAAACCGUGGGAGAUAUCGCUGUAUUUUUUACUAGAUCUCACCGGAGUCGUCUUGUUUGAUCGCUGCUCUGUAUUUCGCAGUGAUGGAGACCAAUUUGCAGCUUCGAUGAUGCCUAAAUCCGUCGAACGAACAUUAAUUUCAGCAACUUUGAAAUUAAAUCGAUCGAACAACGACUACAAACCAACUCCGACAAAAUUUUGCCAAAAAAACAAAAGAGAUGAUCGGAUUUCUCAAAAUUACUUCAUUCUCGACCCUUUUUUACAGUGUGUGCGCGUGUUUGCAGGUAUUAUGAGGAUUGUGAAUAUGGAUUCUCAGAAUUGCUGUUGGAAUCAUGAGUAUAUGAGAUGAGUGUGUGUAUAUUCUAUUAUUGAAAGAAAAUGGAGCCGCUACUCCUCUAUUUUUUGAUCUUCAAAAGAAAAAAAAUGGAGAUGAGAAUGGUUACCCCAAACAAUGGAAAAGCUUCUAUAUAUUAAUGGUAUUUCCUUUUAUUCCCCCCUCAAUGAAUUGUGUCCAUUGCUCUUAAAGGAAAAAAAUGACAAAAGUGUGAGUUUUUUAGGGGUGGGGACCACGUAGGUAGUGAGGUAGGGUAGGAAGUGAGAUGGAUGAGGGGCGUGAGUUAGUUGAGAUAAAUUUUGUUAGGAUAAGAGAAUAUUAGGGAUUUGAUUUGUUAGGGAUUUAUUGAAAUUUUAUUAUUUUUUUGUAUUUUUGUGGGGUAUAAUCGCAUGGGUGAGGGUGUAUGAUAAUGUGAGAUGGAAAAUGGAUGAAUUGGGUUUUAGAAGGGAGAAAAUUAGAUGUCUGCACUUACCAAUUUAGGACAACACAUCUAUUAACUUAUACAUAUACGUAGAAACUCAAUUAAGAAUUAAACAACACCUCAAGCAUGAUAUCAUCAUUCACAACUACCUUGCACCAUAAAGUCAAGUAAACCAGAGAAACAGGGAAUGAAUACAUAUACUCAACAAAUAAAUCCAUGACUAGUGAUGACUAACUCGACCUUUUCAUAAUUAUAUUUUCAUUUCACUUCAACAUUUAAUUAUAUUAUUUAUGUAUGGAUAUUUCCCGGACCACUCAUGGUUCUAAAUAAUAAUAAUAAUAUCAAUUGGUUCACUGAGGGAACCCAAUAUAUCAACAACAAUGGAACUUGAUCCAGUCAUGGAACCGUCAAACUUACCAAAACCUUGUACACACAAACUAUGGGUCUUAUACUUGUCCACUAGCCAUGAUAACUUAGUCUUAUAUUAUAAAUCCAUGUAACAAUAGAUUCAAUCAUAAUAUGAGUAGUACAACCACACUUGCAUUUAAAAUAAGUCACUUUACACAAUCUCAUUUUAGGUGAUUAAGCAACUUGUAAUACCAUCCAAUAAGUCAAUACACACCUUAUGUAUUGCAGCAAGUAGACAAAAGGGGUAGUUUACAAGAACAUAUGAAUUAAAUUAAUUCUCAACUACAUUGAACCACCGUCUACCCCUUUCUAGUAAAUAUAAUAUCUGGUCUAAAUAACACUUAGAACAAGUACACAUAAAAGUAGUUGUAAAACUAAUCUUAGACAACCAGUAUCUAGAAUACCACACAAAUAUUCUAUGCAAAAUUUAUUGCUUCCAACCUUUCAUCUUAUAUCUAGUUCCUAUCCUAUUCACACCAUCAAUCUAUUAAACUGGGAACGAAACAUUCAUAUCUGACCUACCAACACCUACCAAUGUAUCUACAACACAUUACCACAACCAACCAUUUCCACUCAUUAAUUGAUUAAUUAAGAACAAAUAAUUAUAGAAAAACAUACAUAACAUCACAAAACUCUUUCAACAAAAUUCAUCUUAUUCACAUAACCUGAAAAAACGAGUUUAUCCAUCUAUACACCUUGCUUGUAGGACUAUGCAUUAAAUCUUCCAUCAAUCUUUGUUAUGCAUACAUUUUCUAAUACAGGUCUGUGCUACUCAAUUAAACCUAGCCCACCUUGGCAUAAAGCAACUAAUAUGCAGUUAUGAACUUGAGAUUCUGUCUCUAUUCUUGUGAUUAUUGAGUGAAAUCCAUGAGAAAGCAUUAUGUUCUAACCCUUUAGAGUGUAUUUCUUCUCCAUUGCUCUAGAACUUUGAGGCAACCCUAGUGUGUUUUAGAAUAAAGCCUUCUACUUGUUUGCAAUUAAAGGGACAAUGAAAAAUAAGGAAAAAGUAGGAGUAUUUCUUAUUACCUCAAGUUUUUAAGCUCUUGAUCCAACAAAAGAUAGUCAUUAUAUUAUCUUUCCAAUGCUACCGAUCUCAUCUUAAUCUGGUAUCAUAGUCACAAGUUAUGGAAAAUUAUCUGAUAAACUACCAAACUACCAGUGACAACGGCCCUGGCAAUGACUCAUUGCCAAACAUAAUGAGUCAUAGCAAAAUUCAUUGUCACGGUAGUAAAAUGAGGGACUAAGACUUUAUCCCAGUGAGGACGAGUCCAUCAUAUGACUCGUAAUAAUUCUAAAUGAGUCGUGAGGUAGACCCAUCAUCAAUAUAGUAAAAACCAUGGGAUCAAUUCCAUGAAAAUGACUCCUCAUAAUGACUCAUGACCAAACCUAACAAGUCAUUACCUAAACUAUGUCGACUAUUUCCUAAAAUUUCUGAUGUACUAAGAAGGGCUUUUUGGUCUUUUUUUAUCAUUUGAUAACUCCUAACACACAUUGUAUAGGAUUCCCUAAGGGUGGCAUAUAAGCCUAAUUUCCCCCAAAGUCCCCAAAAAAUCACAAAACCAAGAAAAAUGAGUUAUUAUUUUUCUCUGAAGCCAAGUUAGAGUUCCUCAAUCUCAAGUUGAAAUUCCAAGGAUUUCUCCAAGGCUACCAUCUCUAGGUAUGUGGGAUUUCAUGAAUGGGUUCCUUCCACCCAUUGAGUCCAAAAGGAUUCUUAAAUUCUCAAGUUUAAUUCCCUUUUAAGUUUUGGGUUCCAGGUCAAAUAUGAGUUUUCUUAAUUUCUUUAAUUUAUUCCUAUAACUAAACCAUGAAGAUAUGUUUUUCCAUAGGCUUAGAAUCUUCUUAUACCUAAAAUCAUGAAUUUCCCUUAGUAUUGAUCAAUCAUUGAGUUUUGUCUUGAAUUAUGAAAUUUCCUAUUAUGGUCAGCUUUCAAUAUUAUCACAUUCAGUUGCAUUAAUCAGAGCUGGUGGAUUAUGAAUACUCGAUACCUAGGGAUUCAUGCAUAUAUGAUGUUCCAGCAUUUGAUGAAAUAAUUCACAUUUUUAACGAGGGAUAAUUAUUGUUUACUAGUAAUUAUUAGGGUAUUUGAUGAUUGUGCUACUUAUUCUCAGAAAACAAAUUCAAAAUCAAGAACAACUUGGAAAAGUUAGUACUAGAUGGAUGCGAUGGACCAACUGACAGACCAUUAGACCUGUGAUAGACCAUCAACAUGGAUUUCACCACUUGGGCAAAAAAUAGAUGAUCUGAUGGAGGGCAACGAUCAAAGUGACAAACCGUCGAACAUGCAAUGGGUCAUCUCUUUGGUCGUCGUAUGUUAAGAAGAUCUAUAAAAUUUUUAAAGAUCAAGGAUGAGAGGAACAAUGGACCAUCAGACUUGUGAUGGGCCGUCGCUCUGACCAUCGACCAUAAUAGCAAAACAGUAUUGAACUAGAUAACUCCCAAUGGACUGACUAAUGGACCAUUAUUUGUCAGAUAGUCCGUCAGGCAUGCCGUCGACAAUGAUGUGGCAGCCUGAGUUGAAUUAAUAAUUGCAACUUUUAAGAAGCCUAUAAAUACCUAACUUAGGGUCAUAUUAGGGAUCUUUUGGCUAUUGGCUGAAGUUGUAACAUACAAUUGACUGAGAAUCAAGUUGAGAGCAUAGGAAUUUCACUAUUGUUGCUUGUAAUUUGGGGAUUACAAAAACAUCUUUGAUUUUAUAAGUUGAUUCUAAAUUGCUUAUGAAAUGCAUAUUGUUUUUCAUAAGUAUGGCUAAAACUCCCAUAACUAGGGUUAUGGGGGCCUUGGUGUAAUUCAAUGUUAGGGUUGAGGGACUGAUAAAACCUUGAUAAUAAUUUCAAUUACAUAACCUUCUCUUCAAUUUAAUGAUUCUUCUUGGUUGCAAACUUAAGAUAUGUGUCUAUGAACAUUUUUCUUGAACAAAGAAGUUAGUGUUGGUAAAAGAUAAGGGUUACGAGAUGAUUAUAGUAUUUUCCCUCUAAAUUUAUGAUUGAUGCCUUAACCGGAUCAAUUUUGUAAGGAUUUAGUUGUUUUACCAAUUUAUCACUUUAAGUUUGAAAGAAUUGAAUUGAAUCCAUAUUUGAAGGUUGAAAAACAAUUAGAUGGAAGUAAUUAUACAAUUGUCCUUGUAAUUGGAAUUGUUGAUGUAUGGAUUUGUAAAAACCCACAGCCCUUAGUAUUAAAACACCUUGGUAAUCAUAACCUUAGUUUAUUAAUCCUCAUUCUCUAUACAUUGAAACUUAAACAUUAGUUUUUAAUACUUUGCAAACACUCAAACCACUAUUCAUAACAACAAAAACCCUAUUUUAAUUUUGAAAACUUAUGACUAACAGUCCAUUAAUAAUCAUAAGACUUAGUUAACACCUUAUUCCUUGUCGGAUUCAACCCUAACGUAGUUGUGUUAUAUAUUUGACAACGACCACUUACGCUCUUUUAAGAGAGUUGUAAUUUAGGAUUAUCAAAUUUUGGAAUCGUUGCUAGGGAAUGCGGUUGUUAAAAAAGUAUUUGUGCAUUAAUUGACUUUUAGUCAAGUUUCUUAAUUUUACUUUUAUUUAUUGUUUUUGAUAAUUGAAGGCUAUUUAUUGUGCAUGCCAUAAAUAGUAAGGUCAAUAUAGCCAUUAUGACCCUUCAACCCAGAACCUCAAAGAGUUGUGAGAGAAAAUAUGACUGAAUAAUAAAAGGCUACAAGACUUGCUGCUUUGGCAAAUACACAGGUAAAUUAACAGAAUGCAGACAAUCCCAGAUGUGUGCCUAAUAUAGAUAAUGAUGACUUGGGUGAUGAUGACUUGGUUGAUCCUCUGAACAGGCGGCUUGCAAGAACUAUAGCCGCACCAGUAAAUUAGAAUAGGCAAGCUAGAGGGAGAGUGCACCACCAGCGCGCCUGCGGUGUACUUUGAUCUAGAUGAUGAUAAUUAAGAUCAUUUUGUUGGAGCUAUUGCUACAGAAGAAAACAUUCUACCACCAUUGGCUCCUGAGGUAAAAUUUAAUAUCAUGAGCUCAAUAAUCCAACUGCUCAACUUGAAGGGGCUAUUGGGUGAAAUGCUGGGGGAUGAUCCUAAUAUACAUUUGGUGAACUUCAUCAAUAUUUGCAAGUAAUUUGACAAUCCUAGAGUAGGGUAAAAUGCCAUUGUCUGGGUUAUUUCCUUUGUCUCUAUCUUGAGAGGCAACUCUAUGGUUGAAUGAGUUGGCACUCGAUUCUAUAACAAACUAGAGGAAACUAAAAAGAGUUUUCCUAGAAAGGUUCUUUUCGUCUUCUAGGAUGUUAUUGUUGAGGGAUGAAAUCAACAACUUUAGGAAACUACCGAACGAGGCCUUUCAUGAACAUGGAUGUGAUUCAAGAAGAAAUUAACGUGAUAUCCAAACCUCAAGUAGCCUAAAGAGCAUCUAUUGGGGAUGUUCCAUAAGGCUUUGAAUUCCAUUGCAAAGCCAACCAUAGAUACUAUAGCAGGAGAAGCUUUCAUAGAUCUCACUUUCACUGAGGCUUUGGAGAUAUUAGAGAAAAUGACUAAGAGAAGUAGAUCUUGGCAUGCUAUGGAUUCUGAGGUAGCAAGCAAUACUUAUUCUAGUGGGAUGUUGGCAGGGCAACAUUAGAGAGAAGAGGAACGUGAUCAAGAUAUGGAUCAAAUAAAGACAUAGCUAGAUUGCCUACAAAGAAUUUGCUCUCGAGAAAGAUAGAGAAGGUCAAAGUUGUGGGGUUACAUAGUAGGGAAACUAAAUCUGAUUCUGAGGAGGAAGCAAACUACUAAAAUAACUAGGCGGUUUUGAGCUAGUAGACAAGGAAUUCAAGGUCCAAAUUCUUAUGAUAAAGCUGGUUAUUAAGAUAAUGACCAAAGAAACUAGAAGAAUGAAAAUGAUAGAAAAGGACUAUAUAAACUACUUGGGAGCCAUGAUAAUGUUGUAAAUAAUUUUUGGAAGAUGUCUAUGGGAUAUGAUGGACAAAUUAUUGAAAGAAGUAAAGUCAAUAAAUGCCAGAGUUAGGGAAAUAAAGAGCGACUUGUCGACUAUGAGUCAGUUACUUGACUCACACUCAACAUCUAUUAAAUAAUUGGAGCAGCGGAUGAGACAAUUAGCAGCAAUGUUCAACCAAAGAAAAACCAGGACUUUACCAAGUGACACAGUUAAAAACCCGAUGAAUAAUGGUUCAUGUAUGGCUAUUUAAACUAGGAGAAGUAAGAUGCUACCUGGUCCAUGUCAGGUAGCACCAUCUCAUAAUGAUGUGGUAGAGUUAGAAGAGGAGGUGAAUAAUGACUCACUAAUAGAAUCUAGAAAGCCUAGAGAUUUAUAAAAGAAGAGUACAGAAGUGGAAAGAACAUCUAAGCCAAAAUAGGUUCAUGAUGUAGAGAAAAGCAAACAAAAGGUGGUAGAGGUUACUCCAACAAGAAUUACAAAACCACCACCUCAAUUUCCAUAUAGAUUAAAGAAGAAAGAAGAUGGGGGUAAGUUUAGAAAAUUCAUGGCUAUGCUGAAGUAAUUGUAAGUGAAUGUGCCUUUAGUUGAGGCUUAGAGCAAAUACCGGGAUACACUACACUUAUGAAGGACCUUGUGAUGAAGACAGUUAGUUGCGAUCUUGUGGAUAACCUUCAUCAUUGUAGCCUUAUUACUACUAGAUCAUUAGUGCAGAAGAAAGCUAAUCUGGGAAAAUUCACCAUCUCGUGUACAAUUGGAGCAUUUAGUUUUGCUAAAGCACAUUAUGAUCUUGGAGAAAGCGUCAACCUUAUGCCAUUAGCAAUCUUCAAACAAUUGGGUUUAGGGACUCCUAAGCCAACUACUAUGCGACUAUUGAUAGCAGAUUGGUUGGUUUAAAGACUGGUGGGGAUUCUAUCUGAUGUACUUGUAGAGGUGGCCAGCUUUAUAUUUCCCGUAAACAUCAGAAUUCUUGAUUGUGAACUGGAUUUUGAAGUACCCAUAAUUUUGGGUAGGCCAUUUCAAGCAACCAGGAGAGUGCUAGUCAAUAUGGAACCGAAUGAGUUUAAAUUUAGGAUCAAUGAGGAAGAAAUUAUCUUUGAUGUUUAUCAAUCUGUGAAGCAACCUAGGAAAAUGACUAUAGUCUCGGUCAUUGAUGUUAUUGAUGAAGAUGAUCUAAUUUUUCCAGUUGAGAAAAGGUUUGUAAUGGAAACCUUGACUACAGUUUUGAUGAAUUUGACAGUGAAGGAAUUAAUGAGUAUGACGAGACAGUGUGCACAUUGAUUGCAAUGGAGUCAUUUUCGUAUGCCUCGAAGAAGCUAGACUAGGAUUUAAAAAAAUCAUCUAACACCACCAGCCACUCUUUCUAUUGAAGAGCCACCAGUGUUUUACAGCAUGUGCAUUUUGGUGAUGAAAACACUUUAUCGAUGUUUAUUGCAGUGGAUUUAGUGGAGCAUCAAGUUGAGGCUCUUAUUUUUGUAUUGAGGUGCUAUAAGAGUGACAUUAGGAGGACAAUUUUUAACAUCAUAGGCAUUCCACUGGGCAUCUUCACUCAUAAGAUUCAGCUGGAAGAAGAUUAUACUCCCUCUAUUAUGCAUCAGCACAGGCUAAAUCCACCGAUGCAAAAAGUAGUGAAGAAGGAGAUAAUGAAGUGGUUGGUUAUUGGGAUACUUUAACUAAUUUUUAUAGUAAGUGAGUGAGUCCUGUUUAGUGUGUGCCAAAGAAAGGCGGCAUGACGAUGAUGGAAAAUAAAAAUAAUGAGUUAAUUUCACUCAGGCGAGUGAUUGGUUGGCGAGUGUGUAUAGAUUAAAGGAAAUUGAAUUCUUGAACAUUAAAGGUCAUUUUCCAAUGCCUUUCAUGGACCAAAUGCUUGAUUGAUUGGUAGGAAGGGUUGGUAUUGCUUUAUAGAUAGAUACUCAGGCUACAAUAAAAUAUUGAUUGCACAUAAGGAUUAGGAGAAAAUAAUGUUCACUAGUCCAUGUAGAAUAUUUGCAUUCAAGAGAAUGUCGUUUGUAUUGUGUAAUGCAUUGGCCACUUUCCAGAGGUGUAUGAUUUCCAUCUUUUCAGGUAUGGUGGAAUACACUUUGGAAGUAUUCAUGGAUGAUUUUUUUCAUGGUUGGUGAUUCAUUUGACAGUUGCAUAGUGACUCUAGGUAAUGCAUUGCAAUGGUGUGAAGAGUUCAACCUUGUCCUAAAUUGGGAAAAAUGUCAAUACAUGGUGAAGGAAGGCAUAGUAUUAGGACAUAAAAUUUCAAAAAAAGAAAUUGAGGUUGAUAUAGCAAAAAUUAAAGUUAUUAAAAACUACCUCCUCCUAUUCCUAUGAAAGGGGUGUGAAGUUUCCUAGUCCAUGAUGGUUUCUAUUGUUAAUCUAUCAUCAGUUGUUCCUUAAUAGAAUAUGGGCGUGAAAGAUAGACUCUCAUAUGAAGAGAUCCCAGUCGAGAUCCUUGAUUAUCAAAGUUAUAGGAUGAGAAAUAAAGAGGUUACCUUAGUAAAGGUUCUAUGAAGAAAUUAGUUAGUUGAGGGAGCAACAUGGGAAGCAGAGGAAGAUAUGAUGACCAAGUACCCCCAUAUUUACUCUUCAAACUCAGUCCCACCUUGAGGUAAUAGUUCCCUUGAUUAAUUUAUUCUUUCAUUUUUAUCUCAGGCCAUCCAACUAUUUUCAUGUCAUAGAAUACAUUCACAAGUUUAGUUCAGUCCAUCCAGAUUCAGAUAUCAACUCAUGGUUUAGCUCGUAAGUGUUCAGUGCAAAAUUUCAACUUUUCCCUUAGUACUUCAGCUUAGUUUUAUUUCAGGGAUAAAUGAUCCCUAGUGAAAGAUAUUGUACUACCCCAAGUUUUUAAAAUCUAGACCCACCAAAAGAUAGGCCAUUGAAUUAGCUUUCUAGUGCCACCAGUCUCACUAAGAUCCGAUAUCGUAUUAAGAAGUUAUGACAAAUUGACUGAGGAACUAACAAACUAUGAAGGACAAUGGCCCUAACAAUGACACAUUUUUAUACACAUGAGUCAUAGCGAAGACUCGUUGUCAUUCAUCCAUUGGGUAACACUUUUGGCAUAACUUACCCGUGGUCUAUAUUAAUGGCUUAUGCCAUGUAGGAGGGUACAACUGAAUGUUGGGGGACAUAUGGAGGAACAUAUCAUAAUGGAGUGGAAGGAUUUCAACCGAGAUAACAAAUUGGCUCGCUACCUUCUAAGUCUAGUUUUCAAGUUGUGAAGGUGCAUAGGAGUUUUGAGGUAGAAUGUUGAUAGGGACCUAGAGAGUCGAAUCCUUCCAUCAUCUCAAGAUAAAGGUUCUAACCUUCAAGAGCAAGAAAAAAAAAGGAAGAUGGGUAAUAACGACAAGAUAAAUAGUGCAAUAGAGGAUGAUGAUGAUAAUACCCCUCCUACAAAAGCCUUAUUUCCUUAUGAGCAUAUAGAGCAUGGCCUAUCUACCAUGAGGAGAUUCAUAGAGCGGGCUCACUUUAUUCCUCAUUGUUUAGCCCCCUCUAUUUCUAGAGCCUCACCAGCCAUAGCUCUAGAUUUUCUAGAUCACCCAAGGGAUUUGGAUGAGGUCAAGAAGAAGGGGCACACUCAAAACUACAAACUGCCUCGGAUCUAAAAGACCAUUAAGGUUAUGUUAAAGUACGUCAUCCCUAAAAAAUUGCUUCCUAAUCUGGAGAGAGAGUAUAUAUAGAAGCUCUACUUUCUAAGAGAUUUGGAAAGAGAGGGCUUCGACCUUUGAGUCAUAGAUACGAUAUGGAAUCCAGCUAGAUCCUUGAGUACAUGUCAGUCUACCUCUAAUUCCCCUAUUUUAUUUCUAAAUUUUAGAUUUGGGUUGCCCCUAAUUGAGGCAUGUAACAAACAAUCUCACUUUUAUUUUCACAGAUAUAGAUAUUCCUUUUUUGGUAAACCAACAGCUUUUUUAUUCAAAACCAUAAAAUUAUAUUACAAAACAAAAUAGAUGCAGAACAUCUAUUUCUAAGUUCUAGAAACCUAUAUUAUCGAUCCUAGUUAAGCUUAAAAUAGAUAUACAAAAACCAAAAAAAAUUGAGAUAAAGCAAGUAAAUACUGCUAGGUCUUGAUCUAAGGUGUGUUUAUGCACUUUAGUGUUGUUAUCCUAGCUUAUUUAGCCUUGUUUUGAGGGAAAUUCGUGCUCUUUGUGUUUUAAUGAUGAUAUAAAUUAGAAUAUAAGUUUUUAAGUAUUUGAUUACAAUGUUUAAAGGUAUUUUCAAACAAGUUUGGGUUCAAAUCGAUCAUUUAGAGUCCAGACGAGAAAACUAGUUUUACUAGCUUGAGCUAGGUGAUGUUCUACUCUAUCGUGAUGGAUUCUAAUGUGUUGAAUGAGUUCCUAAUGGUUGUAUUGUGUAAUUAUGUGGGGUAAAUUUUUUUAUUGUGUUUAAAGUAUAAUUUAAUCAAGCCAAGAAUCAAAACCAAGUUAACGAUAAAAAGAGGCAAAACUAGUAGUCUUAGCUUAAGUUUCUAGUUUAUCGUCUUGGAUGUGUUGUUUUGAGCUCUAAUUUGUUGUGUUUAAUGGUAUAUGAUGCUUUUUGAGUUGAUUAUGAUGAUAUAUUAAGGAUAUAAAAUCUUCAAAUCAAGUGGAAACAGUAUGAAAAGGCUUGGAAUGGAUCAACGAAAGCACAAGACACAACUUGACGCGAAUUGAACACCCUGGAUGUCAAAGGCACGUCGCGGUCUCAAACCAUGGAAAACUGGUGAUUUCAACACAUGGUUGGCUUCCUAAGGGACCCAAAAUAGUGGGUAUCCAUAAUAAGGGUGCAUCGCGUAGUUAGAUGCACAAAAUUAGCCCUACAACGCGGCCUAAUGCAAAAACGUGGCAGUUCUAUCCUCCUAUAAAUAGGACACUUGUACUUAAUGUUAUAAACCUUGGACGACUUUGAAACUAGGAGAUGGUCUGAAAAACACUUCAAUUACGGUUUUUAUUCUUUAACUGUAGCAUUUUAAUUGAUUUUACCAUGCAUUUAUAUAUCUUGAUUACGAUUAUGUCUAUUAGCGGCUAAAAGCCCCCUUUCCGGGGUUAAAGACAAGAACAUGAUUGCUAUUUCUUGGAAUCGAAUUGAUUUUGUUUAUUUAUCAUAUUUUUUGUUUAUUUACCCUUGUUAUCAUUAUUGUAAGGAUUUGUGACCCUUGGUAUACACUUAUUAUUAUUUUUUUUGAACUCGGGAGGGGGAAUAAGAUGAUAGAACAUAGGGAUAAGUAGAGUAAGGUUCCUAUUCCUUUAAGAAAUAAGGAAUUAGAAUUAGCAUCUAGGAUAGAAAUAUACCUAGAAGACUUGAUUGGUUCACUACAGGAUGAAAUAUAAAUGUGUUUAGCUUAGUGCUCACGUCCCCGAUCAACAAUGUAGUUGUGGGUCUAAGUUAGAUAUGUGGUUAGAGGUUGGGAGACCAUGAUCAUAAAAUCAACCCCGUGAAUCAUCAACCAAGAUACAUAACUUAACCAAUGAAGUUAGAAUGCAUAGUAUGAAUGUUCUUAGUUCUUUAACCCCAGGUUUUUAUUCAUUGAUUGUCCAAAGUCAUUACUUUUACGCAUUGUUUAAUUUACUUUUAGUUAUAACACUCAAACUCUCUCUUGGUUACGUUGCGCUAAUUAAUCUCAAUAGUUAAACUAGAAUUGGAUAGUUGCUUAACACAAGUCUCUGAGGGAUCAUAUUUGGCUUUAUUUAAGGCCACUGUAUUACUUGGUGAGAACAUAUACACUUGCGUGUGCGCUUGGGCACAACAAGUUAUUGGCGCCAUUGCAGGGGACUUGUAAAUUGGAACCUAUUUUUGUUUUAGUUUUACUUUAUAGAUUUCUUUUUUGCUUUACACUUUUCUUUGGUAUUGAAUUUGCAGGAAACAAGUUGACAGAUUAGUAGGUUGGCACAAGAUAUGGAAUUGGUCAAACCAAAUCCCAACCCGAGCAACUGUAUCAUCAAUUGAGGAGAGAAGAAGAACUUCUCGACUAAUUCCCACAAAUUUACAAGGAACAAUAGGAUCCCGCUCUUAUGGUUAAAGAACAACUAGCCCACAGGACAGUUCGUGAAGUUAAAAUCCCACUUUCGAUAAAUUUGACCUUCCCUUUUCAAAAACUGACUGUUGGAGGCAAUUUUGAGUUGAAAUAGAACAUGGUGCAGCUUUUGAUCAGCAGUGGACAGUUUAUGGUGCUUUCACAUGAAGAUCCACAAGUCCAUAAAUUUUUCUCGAGAUCAGUGACACAUUCAUCCAGACGGGCGAGUUAACUAAUUAUGUAAUGCUGACAUAAUUCUUUUUUUCACUGUUGGGGGAAGAGAAAAUGUGGUUAAAUGUUGAGCCGACAAAUUCAAUCACAACCAAGGAUGACUUAGCCUGGAACCUCAUCCGAUUCUUUCUAUUUAGCAAGACUAUGAGAUUGUGUAGUGAGAUUAUGUGCUUCAAACAGAAGCCAAAUGAGAAUUUAUGUCAUGCUUAGGAGUGAUUCAAAGCUCUUCUUUGGGACUGUCCAAAUCAUCAACUGUCCAAUGACGUAUUAGCUCACACUUUUGUUGAGGCACUUGACCAUAGCACAAAAAUUUUGCUAGAUUCAGUUGCAGUUGGUCAAGCAUUGGAGCUCAGUUGGUCAAGCAUUGGAGCUGACUUAUGAUGAGCUCUAUACUUUGUUGAAUCGGAUUGCAUAAGGAAAUCCUGAGUGAUAUUCACACUCAAGAAAUGCCACAAAGAAGGUUGCAGGUGUAUUGGAGGUGGACCAAUUUACUACUAUCUCCGCCCAAAUUUCUGCACUACAAAAUUAGAUAAGCAAUAUAAUGUUGGGGCUUACACAACUUAUAGCCACAGUUAAUGCAAUUCAAUAAACUAUAUUUCGUAAGAGGUUUGUGGUAACAAUGGGCAUGCAGCUACUAUGUGUGCUAAAAAUCCUGAGUCUGUGUUAUUUGUGGGCAAUGUUCAAAGGCUAAAUUACGGGAACUACAAUCUAAAGUGGCAGACUCAGCCACCAAAUCAGCAAUGGAGUGCUCGACAGUAGCAAAUUCAAGGCAAUUAGACCAUACCCCAGAAUAACAAUAUGGAAGAGAUGUUGAAACAAAUUAUGCUUGGUUAAGCUCAAUUAGCAGCAGAUAUAAAGAGCCAGCAAGCAACUAAAAGGAGUUUGGAGUUGUAAUUAGGUCAGAUUGUGCAGGCACAAAAUACCAGGCCUCAAGGUGGCUUGCCAAGUGACACUGAAAAUUCUAACUAAAAAAUGGAAAUCACUUUGGGGGGUGGUAAGGAGCUGAAUAAAGAACUUCUAAAAAAAUAAGGAGGUAGAUGAAGAGUUGACUCCCCAACCGGUAGAUGACAAAGUUUGUGUAAAAUUUGAGGAAGUCUAAGUACUCAAAAAUUAAAGUUGUUUAACAGAUGAAGGAGAUAACGCCAUUACCUUUCCGACAAAGUAAUAUAAAAAUGAAGGAGGAUGCAUGCUUCAAAAAGUUCUUUAACACAUUAAGAGAGCUGCACAUUUACUUACCUCUUUUAGAUAUUUUACAGGGAAUGCCCAAGUAUGCUAAGUACUUGAAGGAUGUGGUCUAUAAUAAAAUUAAGCUGCAAGAUGUGAAGGCCAUAGCACUUAGUGAGGAGUGAGCUCUGUAGUGACAUAAAAAAUCCCCAAAAAGCUCAAAAACCCAGGGAAGUUCACUCUCUCUAUUCAAAUUAGGAAUAGUCAAGUGGUGCACGCACUUAGUGACUAAUGGGAAAGCAUAAAUUUGAUGCCCCUUUCUUUUUUCAACACUUUAAGCUUGGGGAAGCCGAGAUCGAGCACUGUGUUACUGUAAAUGGCAAAUGGGACCAUAGCCUAUCCUGAAGGAGUCAUAGAGGAUGUUAUCAUCAAGGUUGGUAAGUUUAUUAUUCCUACUGACUUUAUUGUUUUAGAUUUUCAGGCAGAUAAAAGAGUACCAGUCAUCUUGGGACUCCAUUCUUGGUAAUAGGAAGAGCUUUAAUAGAUGUGAGAGAGGGCACACUCACAAUGAGGCUGGAUGAUAAACAGGUAGUUUUUAAGGUAUAAAAACCACUCAACACAAUAUCCCACUACCAAGAUUUGUUCAUGAUUAUGGUGAUUGAAGGGGAUAAGUGUUUGGUGGUGGAUUUUAUUCCAUAAAAGACCUCUUCGAACUUUCUCAUUAAGAAGACCAAGCUUCCAAUACGACAUCCUGACAUGAUGCAAAUUGAUGAGCCUAAAAAGGCUAAAGUUAAGAAAGUUGUUAACCUUGAAAGUUCCCACUCAAUAGGUCAGAAACAAAAAAGAAGAUGGCGUCCUAUUGGGAGAAAGAGGAUGAAGGAAAAUGAAUAAUUCAUAGAUUGGGUCAUGUCGUGACACUAAAUCAGGAGCUGCUUAGAAGGCAACCAAAGUUAAGGUAGCUGUUAUUUUUAGUAUUUUAGUUUUUACUUUGCUAGUUUUUAUUUUUGUUGAGUCAUAGGUUAAUGGUAAGUCUGAGUACCAGAAAACCUGCGCUAAGGAGCAUCGAGAAUACUGAGUGAGGGGUCCCCCAGUCCCUCUUGAUGUAUAAAGAUGCUACUAGCUAGGCCUAGAGGCCUCAGGGAGUUUUUCUAUCUUUACUUUUAAAUUAUACUUUGGGGACAAAGUAGAUUUUUAAGAGUGAGGUAGGGAAAUUCCCACUUUUAGGAGUUUUUUUAAAAAAAUUGUGUGAGAUGUUCUUGUUGGUACUAUAGUUGAUUACAAGAUGCAAGUGUUUUUGUUGUAAAGAGCAUGUUGAUUGUGUGAAUUACUACUUUUGAAACUCUUAGUCUCAUGAUUAUGACUAUUAUACUUGUUGGCUUAGUAUUAUUCAUGUGAUUGUUUAGUUGAAAAUCUAUGAUGAUCUUACUUGAGUUGAGCAUGUGCCAUGUAUGUGUGAGGGGUUGUGUAUUUGUGAUACCUCGAGUUUUCCCGUUAAGUAUUUUGCUCCAAAAUGUGUCGAGUCAUUAAAGCCUUUUUAUCUUUCAUUAAGAUCUCAGACGAAAAUGUGUUAAAUUCUGUUCUUUAUCGUAAUUAAUAACUUUUCUGUGUGAAAUUUCUGGAUAUGCGACCCGUCAUCGCGUAGAGAAUCGAAUAAUCUUUCCAACAAUAUGUGGAUCAUCCAAAACGGAUACUCGAGUGAUGAGUUAUGAUCAUUCUGAUCUAACCAUGAAUACUGGUGAACAGUAAAUGUGCAGGAAAAAAAUACUGAGGCCAGGCAAAUUUUAGGGUCAAAUUCAAACGAUCAUAACUCCUUGUACAUAAUGAUCUGGGUGAGCUACUAUAUAUCAACAGAAAUCUCUGAGAGUCCUCUUUCCAAUGAAAUUUGUUUCAUCUAGUUUGUCCAUCGGAGCAAAAAGUUAUGGUCGACCAAAGGAUAGAUUUGACAUUAUUUGAUUUUUAAGGGUAUUUUGGUCAUUCCCACUCCAAUCGAUCCGGGAAAACCAUGGAUUUAAGUCCAUUAAGAGCAUUCAAUAGCUCAUUUUUCUCCAAAAUUUCCCAAGGGUCAAACUCCAACCCUACUACUCCAAAUUUCAUCAUUUUAUGUCUCUUGAUUGAACUGUAAGAAUUUCAAAUUGAUUUAGGAUUCGAGUUGAUCAUGCUAAGGGCUUCGAGAAGCACCCUUUAUUUUCGUGAAUAAAGUUCCGAAGUCGGAAGUUCAUAUUCAUUUUCCAUUUUUAGGUAUGUGGGGCUUUGAACAAGAUUAUCCUUUUAAUCUUGUGCCAGAUAUUUUUGUUGAAUUACAUUGACAUGAGAUUUUACAUGUUUUAACAUGAAUUAGAAAUAUGGUUUUAUAUCUUAUAUUAUUGUCCAUGAGCUAUGGGAUUAGGUCAUCCGAUAUGUGUAUGAUGUUGAGAUGGAAUUAUGUCCAAAAAGUAUUUGAUUAUGAGAGUAUGAUGAUUUAAUUUGUUAAGCCUUGAUUUAUACUAUCAUUCCACUAUUUUCUUAUUACAAAUUUAUAAUUGAUGUUGGAAAUUCUAUAUCCCUACUAUGGGUUAUGUCUCAAGUACCUUUAAAUGAGAGUUGGAUGGCAAAUUGAGAAAUGUUGAUAUUGAAGUUGCAAUGAGUCUUGGUAUUUUUCGGAUGGUUUUGAUGAGUUAAAUUGUUGAAAAUAUUAUGUAUUGAGUCUUCAUAUCCUCAUCCAAAUUUUGAGUCGGUUAUGGUUCAAAGAAUUGAUACCCUUUUGAUGUUGAGGAAGAUUAAAAUGCUUUGAGCUAAAAUGUGUUGUGUUAGGAAUCCACAAAUUGAUAUGAUUUGAUAAAUGAGAAAGAUAUUUGAUUUGGUCUUUAUGAUAGACCCUUGUGAUGUUAUGGUGGAUUUCCCAACGCUUUCUAAUCUUGUCGGGGAGUAGUACUUAGCACCGGGAGAAAAAUUUGGUAUUUCCCCAAACCUAUGUGNNNNNNNNNNNNNNNNNNNNNNNNNNNNNNNNNNNNNNNNNNNNNNNNNNNNNNNNNNNNNNNNNNNNNNNNNNNNNNNNGAUAUGAUAAUUUAUGAUGAUUUAGGAUGAUUUAUCAUAAUUUAUGAUUUAUAAUGAUUUAUGUGGAUUACAAGAUUUUAUUAUAUGAACUAUUUAUUAUGAAAUUACAAAAAUUAUGAUUUGAUAUAACUCAAGCCAAGUGAGUCAUCAUUAUCCAUAUGCAUGUUUUCAUGAAAUUGAUUAUACUAUUUAUAUUGUUGCAUGCACCCCCACAUACUCAGUACAUUUCAAAAUGCUGACCCACAUAUUUUCAUGGGUUACAUUCUUACCAAAAUGUAGGUACAAACUGUAGCGCACAUAUCAUGUUCAACUGGUUCGCAGCUCUCGAUCGGCAGGUGAUUAGUCCUUUUGAUUCAGGGACUUGAGUUGUUCAGAUUUGAGGUGUAUUGUAUUCUGUAUUCAGUCGUAUUGAGUAGGAGUAGUUGGGAGUCAUGACCCGGCUAUCUUUGGUUAAUGCUAGUAGAGGCUUCAUAGACAGUCACUAGUAGUCAGUGUAUUCAGUUUCAGAUUUGUAUAUAUAUGAGCAGAAUUAUGACCGUGUAAAUUUACUUUCAUGUUGGUCAGACUAAGUUAUGGGUUGUUUCUGAAUUAUUCCUUCUAUUUUAUGUAUUUUAUUCAGUUUCUUGGGGUUAUGCCAGAUGAAGAGUUAGCUUGGGGUCACUUGUGACCUUAAGCACCGUGGGACGUCUCGAGAUCCGAUUUCGGGGCGUUACAGUAUUCCUUGUUGCAUGUGAUGUAUAGAACUUGCCUGGUGUGUGUGGAAAGCAAAAUAAAGAGUGUGGGUUUAGGAGAUGAUAUAGACAUUUCUUCAAUGGCCUUGUUUCGUACUAUCUUUUACCUACCAUUAUACAUAAACCUAGUUAGCCCCAUUGAGCCUUCAACUUAUUUUCUUUGGCCGCCUCAUAAGUAGCCUAAAUCCCCUUGUUUGACUGACCAUAAUUUGAUCCAAAGCUCCUGAGUGCUUUAGUUGAAAUCUAAUUAAGUUAAGGAGUUGGAAACUCAAGAAGGAAAAGAUGAAAUUGAAGCCCCUAACUAAUGGCUAUUGGUAUUCUAAAAUUUGAUGUGUUGUGGUUGGGAGUGAAAAAAAAAAUUGUGCUAAAAAAUUUAAGCAUGAAUUAAAAGACAAUACUCUCACCAUAUUUUAUGUGAAUGAUCUUAAUGAGAUGGGGUAAAACUAUGUAUAUGUGAAGAGUGUAGAGGUGAGAGUAGGUUAUUAAAGCGCUUAGGGAAGAUAGUCACUAUUACUGGCCAGAAUAGUUCCUCCCCGUCCCUUAGCCUGCAUUAUAACCUGUAAAGACCUAUUUGAUCCUAAGCUUAACAUUCUGAUAUUAGUGGAGCACUACACUAAGGGCAAGCAUAUGUUUCAUUAUUUGUAACUUGUGAAUUCUUUGUGAGAGUGAGUGCAAUUUUAUUCUUAUACCCAUUGUGUACAAAUGAAAUUAUUGUGAGUGACUAUGGAUAAUAAUUGUGAGGGCACAUGUUUGAUGAUAGUUGGGUAAUUUAUAUGAUGUCUUUGAUUGAACAAAAUGUGUGAGUUUUCCAACUAAGUGAGUCAAUUCUUGAGGCUAGGACAUUUUGGAGUAGUGUUCUUGAACUUUCAAUUGUGUACAUAACAUGCUUAGUUUAGAAACUUGCAUUCUGCAUAGUCAGUAUAGUGAUUGGGUAAGUAUCUUGAUUGUAUUAGAAGUGUAGAGUCAUACCAGUUUAUUAUUCUUAGAGUAAGGAGUUGUUCAAGGACAAACAAAGCUUUAAGUAUGGGGUGAUGAUCUGAGGUGUGUUUUAUGCACUUUGGUGUUGUUAUCCUAGCUUAUUUAGCCUAGUUUGAGGGAAAUUCAUUUGAUUUAUGUGUUAAUGAUGAUAUAAAUAAGCAUAUGUGUUUAGGUAUGUGAUUGUAAUGUUUAAAGGUGUUUUCAAACAAGUUUGGGAUCAAAUCGAUCAUUUAGAGUCUAGACGAGAAAGCUAGUUUUACUAGCUUGAGCUAGGUGAUGUUCUAGUCUAUCGCGAUGGAUUCUAAUGUGUUGAAUGAGUUCAUAAUGGUUGUAUUGUGUAAUUAUUUGUGGGAAAUUUUUUUUAUAGUGUUUAAAGUAUAAUUGAAUCAAGCCAAGAGUCAAAACCAAGUUAAAGAUAAAAAGGGCCAAAACUAGUAUUCUUAGCUUAAGUUUCUAGUUCGUCGUCUUGGAUGUUGUGUUGUUUUGAGCUCUAAUUUGUUGUGUUUAAUGCUAUAUUAUGCUUGUUGAGUUGAUUAUUAUGAUAUAUUAAGGAUAUAAAAGCCUCAAAUCAAGUGGAAACAACACUUAAAGGCUUGAAAUGGAUCAACGAAAGCACAAGACACAACAUGACGCGAAUUGGACAACUUGGAUAUCAAGGGCACGCCGCGAUCUCAAACCAAGGCCAACUGGCGCAUUCCACACAUGGUUGGCUUACUAAGGGACCCAAAAUAGUGUCUCCAUGAUAUUGGCACAUCGCGUAAUUAGACACGCAAAAUUAUCCCUGCAACGCAGCCUAGUGUAAAAAUGCAGCAGUUUUAUCCCCCUAUAAAUAGGACACUUGUACUUGAUGUUAUACACCUUGGACGACUUUGAAAUUUGGAGAGGGGAUGGAAAACACUUCAAUUAGAGUUUUUCUUCUUUAACUUUAGCUUUUUAAUUCUUCAAUUAGAGUUUUUCUUCUUUAACUUUAGCUUUUUAAUUGAUUUUAUCAUGUAUUCAUAUAUCUUGAUUACAGUUAUGUCUAUUAGUGGCUAAAAGCCCUCUUUCUGGAGUUAAAGGCAAGAACAUGAUUUCUAUUGUUCGAAAUUGAAUUUGGUUAAUUUAUUUAUCAUACCAUGUUGUUUAUUUACCCUUUUCAUCAUUAUGAUAACGAUUUUCGAUCCUUAGGAUAUACUUAUUGUCCUCUUUGUGAAAUCGGAGGACAGGGGGAAUAAGAUGAUAGAAUGCGGGGUAAGUAGAGUAAGGUUCUUAUUCCUUUAUGAAAUAAGAAAUUUAAAUUAGAAUAAGGUUCUUAUUCCUUUAUGAAAUAAGGAAUUUAAAUUAGCAUCUAGGAUAGAGAUAUACCUAGAAACCUUUUUUGGUUUACUAUGGGAUGAAAUAUAAAUGUGUUUAGCUUAGUGCUCACAUCCCAGCUCAAUGAUAUAGUUGUGAAUCUGAGUUAGAUAGGUGGUUAGAGAUCGGGAUACCAUUAUCAUAAAAUAAACCCCGUGAAUCAUCAACCAAGAUAAAUAACUUAACCAAUGAAGUUUGAAUGCAUAGUAUGAAUCCCGGGUCUCUAUUCACUGAUUGUCCAAAGUCAUUACUUUUACUCAUUGUUUAAUUUACUUUUAGUUAUAACUCUCAAACUCUCUCUUAGUUAUGUUGCUCUAAUUAAUCUCAAUAGUUAAAUUAGAAUUGGAUAGUUGAAUAACACAAGUCUUAGAGUGAUCGAUAUUCAGCUUUAUUUAAGGCCUCUGUAUUACUUGGUGAGACAACGUACACUUGUGUGUGCGGCGCAAUAGUCUUCACUUAUUCUUCAAUCUACUAAGCAAAUACCCCGUGUCAUGGUCUUCCAAUAAGCUUACUAAGAGCAUCUAUCCAUUUAGGAAAAGCUUAACCUCUGAUAUGUAUAUGGAUAUCAAUUUCCCUACGUACUUUCUCCUGUUGAAAGUUACCCUCCUGGAAUCUAAGCAUAUUCCUUUCUCUCCAAAUAGUAGAAUCCACCAUAGAAAAAGUGUUGCUUAUCACAGCACCUAGACCAGACGUUCAUUUAGCCUAACUAUUUUCCUAGGUCAACUUAAAUUGACAACAUCCAAUGGAUCUGUGGACUCCCUACUAAGCUAGCAUUCUCAACCAUAGUGCCUUAGUGAUGGACACUCAAAACAUAUGUGAUUUAUUAACUCCAUAUAAGAAUUAGAUAAGUUGCACUGUAAUGGUACAUGAAUAUCAAACUGCAGUCUAUCAGUUGUAGCAAGUCUCUUCCAGGCUGCUUGCCAUAAUGUGAAUUUAUGUGUAGGAUGGAUAGUUGGUUAUAGAGCAAUACUCUUUUACAACACCUUCUAAUAGUUAGGUAGCAAGCUUAUAUACAUCUUUUUGAUAAAGAACUUCCCAUUUAUAACUAUCAAUCUCAAUCUAGUUGAGAGAUUACCCUACAGGUUCCCAACAUCCAUUACAAACUUCCUCUUCUCUAAUAUCUUCCUUAGCACCCAAGUAGCAUUUGAGGGAAUAGGACAUUCUUCAGCACUUAUCCUUUUCUAUAGUAUUCAUUCAGCUAUUUUAUCCAUAAGCAUUAUUUCUUCACAGUAACAACCCACAACAGUUUUAAAAUAGUAGAACAAUUCUAAAUUCCCAUAUUAAUAAUGUUGUGACCUCCUACAGCCUUUGGAAAACAAAUCUGCUUCCAUAAAAUUAAUUAUUUCCUUGAUCUAGCAGUAGAGCCAGUCUAGAGGUAAGUCCUACAGACCUGAUAUUUCAACUUUAGAAUUCUCUUAGGCAGCAAAAAGAUUUGAGUCCAGUAAAUUUGAACACUAAAUAGGACAGAUUUGAUAAACUGUGUUUUGCCUGCAUAAUGGAGAACUUUUUCUGACCAGCACCUGAUUCUCUCAUUAAUCCUCUCAACUAUAAGUAUACAUUGUGCAAUGAUCAAUUUUUUUAGGACAAGGGUACCCCAAAAUACUUAAUGGGAUUUCACCCUAAUGGUAUCCUAAUAUGUUCAAGCUAUCUUAUUUUAAAGUAGGUUUGACCCCAUCUAUGUUUAUAGAACUUUUCACAAUAUUAUCUUUGAGUCCUAAGGCAGAAAAGAACCUGUUAAAAUCAUCCUGAAGUAAUUGAAUUGAGGUUAUAUUAACCUUGAAAAAUGGUAAAAGAUCAUCUAUAAAGUAGAUGUGCACCACACCUAAUUUUUUACAUGUGGGUUGGUAUGGAAAUACUUUAUUAAGACCCAACUAUACAAGCUCUCAUUGAAAAUACUCCAUUUCCAGCACAAAAAGGAGAGGGAACAUGGGGUCUUCUAGCCUUAUACCUCUCUUCCCCAAAAAGUAGUUAGACCAUAAAAUAGCUAAGGGAAUAAACUAUUGAGAUGAUACAUUCCAUUAUCUAAAUAAAUUUUCAUGGAAACCCCAAUUCAGCAAGAACACUUUGCAAAAACCUCCAUUCAAUUAAGUCAUAGGCUUUCCUUAAGUCCACCUUCAUCACACAUCUUAUGGAUAAGCCUCUCCCUCUAUUCCACAUUAAUACAUUACUAAAUAAAAUAUUUUCUAUAAUACUCCUACCUUCAAUAAAAGCGGGCUGAGUAGGAUAAAUGACAUGGCCGAUCACCUGUUUGAUCCUAUUUAACAAGACCUUUGUAACAAUUUUAUAGACUAUUGUACAGUAAGCUAUAGGUCUCCAAUCUUAAACCUGGGAAGGUUUAGGGACCUUAGGGGUAAGAGUAAUUGUUGUAACACUAAAAGCCUUCGUCAUAGCACCUAUCUUAAAGAAUUAUUUCAUUAAAAUGAGGAAAUCAUCCUUAAUAACUGACAAGUUUUGAGUAAAGAACUCUGCAGGGAAUCCAUCAACUCCUGGAGCUUUAUCUGCUAGUAAGCUUUUAACAGAAUCAAGAAUCUUAAUUUCUAUCAUAGUAUCCACUAAGCUGUAUUUUUUAGUAUAAGAUAAUCAUUGUCCAUCACUGAUAAAAGCAAAAUUUGGGAAAGGUAGAAUAUCUGCUUUAGACCCCAUCAAACUAAAGAACCUUAUAAAUUCAGCCUCACCAAGCUUUGGAUCCUACAGUUUCCACCCCAAUGAAUCAAGAAUUGAAGUUAUUGCAUUCCUACUGGCCCUGAUCUUCACUUAAGUAUGGAAAAACUGAGUGUUAGUAUCACCACAUGCUAUCCAAUUUACCCUUGAUUUCUACUGUAACACAUUUUCCUCCACUUCACUCUAUUUCUUGAUAUCACCAAGCAAUCUUUUCUCCUGUUAUAUUAGACUGGGGUUCAGAAGACUAUUGCAUGAUAAAUCCCAUGUAAUUUCCAACUCACGCCUUUCUUGGGCCAGCUUUUGACUUCAAGAGACUAUAUGAGUAUUCAACUUAUUUAGGCAUUCAACUUAUUUAGGCCAUACUUUAUAGCUUUCAACUUUUUCCACAAUCUAUUUAUAUAGGUUCCAGUUUUCUUCUGGGGUCAUACAGUCUAUAAGAUGCUCUCAAAGUUUUGAUGGUUUAGCACUACUUUAAAUAACUUAAAAGGACUUAUAUUAGAAUGGAUAGGUGGGCAAACCUGGAAAAGAAUUGGAGAGUGAUCAACAUUCCAAGGAGCAUGUAGUCAACCUCUAGAUGAAUAUAAUUACUCAUCCACAACAUGUUGCCAAGUCUUAUCAAUUUUGGAAUAGACCCUACUAUUGUCUUGUUGCUUAUUACAGAAGGUGUAGUGACACCCUAUAUCCCUAAGGGUUGUAAGCUACAAAUUAUCUGCACGGUGUUGAAAGUCUUAAGACUCAGUUGGUAGGAUUUAUGAGCCUAACCUAUCAGAAUUAGUCAGAACAUUAUUAAAAUGUACAGCCAAUAAACAACUACUUCAGAUUAUAACACCUAAAGCUAUUAACUCCUGCCAUAAUUGUUCUCUUUGAACUAGUCCAUUACUAGCAUAGAUUACAUUGAAUUUAUCUUGAAAAUCAAUAGCCUUGUCACUAAGAAAACAGGGGACAACUUGCUCUAAAACCAAUUGUAUCUGCACCAGCGCUAUGUUUCUCCAUAGGAGCCAUAGCCUACCAUUGUAUGUUAUAGGAUAGUUGCAGCAAUGAUCUCAAUUAGUAACUAUUUUGCUAAAGAUAUUUUGAGCUCUAUUCUUUGUUACUGUAAUCUCUAUGAUCCCCAUUACAUCAACUUUAUUAUUAUUUAGAAAGUGCUUCAACUCCUUCUGUUUUAAGGGCUGGUAUAUCCUUCUAAUACUCCAUGUUACAAUUCUCAUGAAGGGUGAAGACCCAAGGGGUCGCUGGUAAUUGAAAAAGUAUCCACUGCUAAACUUUAAAAGCGGUUAAGCACUAGUAUUGGGGGUUGCAAAUAAGAUUUUUGUUGGGGAGCUGUCUGCACCAUUUCAAUAGUGGUUGGUCUUUUCCUAUUCAUUGAGAAUUCAGGAGAUUCCUUAGAAGUUGUUGCCGGUUCUUGUCCCACUUAGUGAUUCACUUUCUCAACUGGUAAUACCAUUCUUCUUUUCCAUAAGGGUGAUUUAGGUUUCUAUUCUUUCAUUUCUUCUUCUCCUCCUCCUUAAACUCUAUGUCCUCAUCUCCUUCUCCCACAUUAUUCUGAUAUUCCUUCGUAUCAUGACCAAAUUUCAUAAAAUGCUUGCAAAACUAUGGCCUCUAAUCAGAUUCCAUAGUUUGCUGAAAUUCCCCAUAAGGGAUGGAGAUGUCAAUUAUCUCAACAAGCACCUAGGAAGCAUAAACUUCCAAGAAUAUGUGUGCAUAUGAGAUCCUUGUAAUGGAUGUUGUAAAGUUAUUUGUAUACAGGGGCCUUCCUAUCGCACCAGCAAGUUUAAUGAAAGAGUCACUAGACUAAUACCCUACCUAGAGCCCUGGUAUGGAGACCCAUAGAGGAACGGUAGAGAAAUAAUCAGUGUUGAACUCAAAAGUUUAGCACCCAACGUUGGAAAACAAAGGGUUGGUUUUGGAAAGUGUAAGGGCCUGCCUAUAGAAUUUGCUCACUCUAUUAAGUUGAUUCAAAAUGAAACAAAAAUAUCCCUCAUCAUGAAGCACAAUUUUAGUGAUGCUCUCUAUUUUCUAGAAAUUCCUAACAUAAUUCUCCAUUGUUUUCAUUUAAGGGGUAUCUCCAACCACAUAAGCAGUAAGGGCAGAGCUCAACUAAUUCUGAAUAUUUAAAUAUAACUUUGCCCUCCAUACAUAGUUGGAAGAAAAUAGGAUAGAGAUUUACCUCGUUGUUCUAAUUUAGUAGCUUCAUGUCCUGCUGGUUUGGUGUUGUUUUUGUGGCUUUUGGGGGGUUAUUAGAAGCAAGCUGCAAAAUUUCAAUCUAAAAAUAGCUAUUUGCAAUUCUAAUAAAAUACCCCUAUAAGGUUUUAACUGGAUAGUUGCAGGAGAGACCGAAUCUAAACUUUAACCUUCAUCUUCUAUGGCAGCAGAUUGAAAUUGAGCUAGGAGAUAUCUACAGAAGGUGAUUAUAGAGUGGCAGCAAUCUCUUCCAAUGAUCGGUGUAAUCAAUUUCCCACUCGAGCUUAAGCCUUUUCCUGAAUAACUCUAUUUUCCCAUGUUAUUUUCCAAUCAUUUCAUGUUAGCUUUCCAUGUUAAGAUGUGUUAAUAAAAGGUAAUGAUCCUGCUUAGGAUGAUUGAUUUUAUUUAACUAGUAGUGAAUGUAUAAAAUUCAUAUGAUGCCAUGCAUGUUAUAUCGAUCAUGUGAUAGAUAGCAUCUUAUAAUUGUGGUUUGAAAAGGUUGGGAAUAAAAUACAGGUUAGGGGAAAUAAGGUAGAGAUUAUGUCCCAACCUAUUAUGCUAUAGCAGCCUACAUGUCGUUAUCCCUGCACCGCUACAGCGGGAAAAUUUCUACUACGGCAGGGUCGCAGUAGCAAGAUAGUGUCUGCUACCCUUAUGCUAAAACAAUGUUUACCACCCUUAACCCAAUGUCCCUAACCUUAUACCCCUGAAUUUUACCAUCCAAUGACAAUGACCUUUACUUGUUCAUCUUACAUAUAAAUCCAUGCCACAAUAAAUACAAUUAAAAUAUGAGGUAAUACAACCACACUUGCAUUUCAAACAAGUCUUUUUACAUAAUCUCAUUUUAGCUGAUUAAGAAACUUGUAAUGCCAUCUAACAAGUCAAUACACAAAUCAUGAAUUAUAAUAAGUAGUCAAAGAGGCAGCUAAAUAUGCACAUAUGAACUAAAUUAAUUCUCAACUUUAUUCAACCAUCACCUACCCUUUUGUAUUAAAUAUAAUAUCCGUUUAGAAUAGCACAAAGAAUAAGUACACACACAUAUAGUCUUAGAACUAACCUUAGACUACAAUAUCUACAAAAUCAUACAACCAUUCUAUGCCACACUUCAUAGUUUCCAAUUUCUUAUCUUAUUUAUAGUUCCCUGCCAUUCACUAAAUCAAUCCAUCGAACUAAGAACAGGACAUUAAUAUCUAAACUACAAACACCUACUCAUGUAUCCACACCACAUUACCUUAACCAAAUAAUUCUGCUCAUUAAUCGAGUAAUUGAGCACAAAUAAUAUACAAAACUCAUUCAAGAAAAUUUAUCUUAUUCUUACAACCCAAAUAUAUUGGUUGUAUCCAUCCAAACACCUUUCCCGCUGCCAACACAUGGAAUCUUCCAUCAAUAUAUGUGAUGCAUACGUUUUAUAGCACAGGUCUGUGCUACUCAAUUAAACCUAGCCUACCUGGACAUGAAAAAGUUGAUAUGGAGAUAUGAACUUGAGAUUUUGGCUCCGUUCUUUUGAUUUCCAAAGUGAAAUCCAUGAGAAAGAAUUAGGUUCUACUGUGUCCGAGCAUACUUCUUCUUCUUCAUUGCUCUAGAGCUAUAAGGCCACCCUAGGGUUUUUUAGAAUAAAGCACAAUCCUCUUUUACAAUUUAAGAAAGGACGAACAAUAAAGAAAAAUUGGGACUAUUUCUAGUUCUUGAUGUCCUGCUAUAGCAGCCUGCAGGCUACUACCACGACGUCUCUAUAUUGAGAUGAUGUGGG
Molecule: long non-coding RNA, 43852 nt
Filed under: Capsicum annuum
Lineage: Eukaryota; Viridiplantae; Streptophyta; Magnoliopsida; Solanales; Solanaceae
Description: long non-coding RNA (CANN_LNC017591)
Source: RNAcentral